AGCAGUAGCCACGGGAACACGUAGGGUGCGAGCGUUAAUCGGAAUUACUGGGCGUAAAGCGUGCGCAGGCGGUUUUGUAAGACAGGCGUGAAAUCCCCGGGCUCAACCUGGGAAUGGCGCUUGUGACUGCAAAGCUAGAGUGCGGCAGAGGGGGAUGGAAUUCCGCGUGUAGCAGUGAAAUGCGUAGAUAUGCGGAGGAACACCGAUGGCGAAGGCAAUCCCCUGGGCCUGCACUGACGCUCAUGCACGAAAGCGUGGGGAGCAAACAGGAUUAGAUACCCCAGUAGUCCCUGUAUCUUAUAA
RNAcentral lists this ribosomal RNA (303 nucleotides) under uncultured bacterium. Its description in RNAcentral is "partial 16S ribosomal RNA". It matches the Rfam family "Bacterial small subunit ribosomal RNA", at positions 507 to 809 of the family's 1533-position model. The record is from RNAcentral.